RNAcentral lists this non-coding RNA (168 nucleotides) under uncultured Ruminococcus sp. RNAcentral's name for it is "malK-I RNA". It matches the Rfam family "malK-I RNA". The record is from RNAcentral. Lineage: Bacteria; Bacillati; Bacillota; Clostridia; Eubacteriales; Oscillospiraceae.
GGACGGUCACUCCACACUAUGAGCGUUCGUACAUAAAAGAAGGAGGAUUAUUACCGUUAGCUUGCGGUGCGGCAGCGUGGAGACCUGUCGUAAUGCGGUGCAUCUUAUCAAAGGGAUGCCGCGAGGCAGUAUGGAGGAGUCCUUACUGUCAGAGCAUGGUUAAAUGUC